CCAGGUCCUCACCAUAGCAACCUGACCUCCUGGCUUCCACUAAGCAUCUUCCUACUGGCGGUCUCAUGCAGAGCAUUGUUGUGAUGUCUGAGGCACCUGGCAUGCCACAGAAAGAGUCUGUAAGCCAAAGGCACCACAGCUGUUCCCGCCAUUCCCCCAACACAGAACGUGGGCUCCAGAGGUCAGCAGCCAGCAGCUUCUGUCCCUUGUCACUUUUCCCUCGGUGCUGGUGUCACUCAAUGGAGGAGUCAUAGCACUCCAUAUCACCCACUGUCCUAUGUAGCCAUGGAAUCUGGGGAUUCAUUUGGGCCCACAUUAUCUCAGUGCCUCGAUUCUCCAGCCAAUGAACCAUCAUGGCAAGAAACGGCAACUAUGUUAAGAAAUGGGUCAGAAGCCUCAGGGACUAAACUGUUUGCAUGGAAUGAAAAUCUUUUGCAGGA
Peromyscus eremicus (cactus mouse) is the source of this 440-nucleotide long non-coding RNA. RefSeq lists it as uncharacterized. The transcript has 2 exons. Lineage: Eukaryota; Metazoa; Chordata; Mammalia; Rodentia; Cricetidae. The record is from RefSeq and is a predicted model, not a curated record.